UUUUCCGGUUGAUCCCGCCGGACCUUACUGCUAUCGGGUUGAGACUAAGCCAUGCAAGUCGAGCGUUUUCAAGCUAUGUUGAAAGCGCGGCACAAGGCUCCGUAACACGUAGUUAACCUACCCUCAGGAUGGAGAUAACCCCUGGGAAACUGGGACUAAUAUCCAAUAAAUGAUUAUGCCUGGAAUGGUUUAUCAUUGAAAGAGCUGAAUACAUGCUUUCAGUAUCACCUGAGGAUGGGACUGCGUCCGAUCAGGUUGUUGGCGGGGUAACGGCCCACCAAGCCUAUAACCGGUACGGGCCCUGAGAGGGGGAGCCCGGAGAUGGAAACUGAGACAAGGUUCCAGGCCCUACGGGGCGCAGCAGGCGCGAAACCUCCACAAUGCGCGAAAGCGUGAUGGGGUUAGCCCGAGUGCUGUCCGAAAAGGAUGGCUUUUCCUUGGUGUAAAAACCCAGGGGAAUAAAGGGGGGGCAAGACUGGUGUCAGCCGCCGCGGUAAUACUAGCCCCCUGAGUGGUAAGGACGAUUAUUUGGCUUAAAGCGUCCGUAGCCGGCUUAGUGAGUCUCUUGUUAAAUCCAAUGAUUCAAUCAUUGAACUGCAAGAGGUACUACUAUGCUAGAGGACGGGAGAGGUCGACGGUAGUCCAAGGGUAGGGGUGAAAUCCUAUAAUCCUUGGAGGACCACCAGUGGCGAAGGCGGUCGACUAGAACGUGCCUGACGGUGAGGGACGAAAGCUGGGGGAGCGAACCGGAUUAGAUACCCGGGUAGUCCCAGCUGUAAACGAUGCGGGCUAGGUGUAGGGGCAGCUACGAGCUGCUCCUGUGCCGCAGAGAAAUUGUUAAGCCCGCCGCCUGGGGAGUACGAUCGCAAGAUUGAAACUUAAAGGAAUUGGCGGGGGAGCACCACAAGGGGUGAAGGCUGCGGUUUAAUUGGAGUCAACGCCGGAAAUCACUAGU
Molecule: ribosomal RNA, 955 nt
Filed under: uncultured archaeon
Lineage: Archaea
Description: bacterial SSU rRNA
Rfam family: Archaeal small subunit ribosomal RNA
Source: RNAcentral